GGAUGCGGAGUUCAUUACGGAAUGCAAUUUCCCAUUUGUUGCUAGUUCCAGUGGUGGAGCAAACCGAACUUGAUGAAAUAAUAAACACGUCCCAUGAAUCUGAAGAACAGGACAGCGAUGAGAACCCCGUAUCCAGGGCAACCAAGAGUUCAGACUUCUCAGUCCAUAAAUAAUCAUUCCCCAGCUUGCCCUCUGUACUCCUGGUCUCUGAGCCACUUUCUGACAAAAUGGGCUCCAUCCGGAGGCUGCCACUCUUUCUCUAACUGGGGCUUAAACGACUGCUGGGGAAUAUUCUAUAAAAAAAGGCACCGUUUCACUUCUGUCUGCAACUGACUCUUGUAAUUUUUACUCUGGUGAGAGGAUGCUCUGUGGCCAAAGUCAUGGGGACAUAGAUACCAUUUAGCACCAAGCUGCCUAGAAAGUUCUGGGUAUCAAUGGCUGCGUCUAAUGAAACCAGAUUUAGCAAGAGGAAGCUGGAGACAGGGGAGAUGGAGACAAAGGUCCCAAAGUGAGCACUGGUGGUAACUGUUCGCCUUUGAACCUCCUUAGAGACUUCUGGAUUCACUGUCCAUGAUGACUUGCAUGUUCUCUCAAGAGCACAGGAACCUCAUCUUCCAUUGGAUGCCUGUAGCACCCAUUUGACAAGCAACUCACAUACCAAGAGUCAGGAAGACAGCCAGGCCACUUCUCAGGAGCCGCAGUGUUCUCACAGGAAGUGGAGCUGCUAAUGGCAGGUGGAAGGACUCAUGUAACUAACACAUUGGACUACACGCCAAGAGGCUGCCCAGAUACACGAUGUCUACAAAACUGUUGGGGGGGCCUGGAACAACUGGCAGAUAGCAAACAAUUAUCUAUUAAAUAUGCAAAACCUAUCUUCUGUCUACUACAUUUGAACUUACCAUUAUGUAGGUUUAAAACGUAUCUUAAACAUUUUAAGGAUUUAUUGAUAUUUAUUUAA
Molecule: long non-coding RNA, 958 nt
Organism: Rattus rattus (black rat)
Lineage: Eukaryota; Metazoa; Chordata; Mammalia; Rodentia; Muridae
Exons: 2
Source: RefSeq, a predicted model, not a curated record